This 355-nucleotide long non-coding RNA is filed under the name Bos taurus (domestic cattle). RNAcentral describes it as "long non-coding RNA NONBTAT013490". Lineage: Eukaryota; Metazoa; Chordata; Mammalia; Artiodactyla; Bovidae. The record is from RNAcentral.
GUGGAAUUAAGCUAAACUCCUUCUGGUUUUUAUUUAAGUCUUAGCUAUCAUGUGGCCCCAUGGCAUCGGCCCAGGGAGUGAUGAGAUGCCUCUGUACCAAGGAAUCUUCGGUUUCUUCCACUAGCUCUUAUCUAAGAGCCUUUUACCUACACAUGUACUACGUUUGUUUACAGACUGUAGGUGGAUAUGAUUUAAAAGCUUGAUUUAAUAAAAAUUGAAUCCCCCCAAACCUGUGCUACUGAUCCUAUUUUUUUUAAAUCAGCUUAUGUGAUGGUUUUAUUUGUUUAGGUAGUCUCUUUUAUUUCUCUCCCCAAAUUGUGUUACCUUGACAACAAUAAAAAGGCAAAUUUUAAAA